RNAcentral lists this ribosomal RNA (801 nucleotides) under uncultured bacterium. RNAcentral's name for it is "bacterial SSU rRNA". It matches the Rfam family "Bacterial small subunit ribosomal RNA", at positions 60 to 873 of the family's 1533-position model. The record is from RNAcentral.
AGUUGAGCGGAGAUAUAUGGAGCUUGCUUUAUAUAACUUAGCAGCGAACGGGUGAGUAACACGUAGAUAAUCUAUCCUAUACUGGGGGAUAGCCCGAUGAAAGUUGGAUUAAUACCGCAUAUAGCUAUAUAGUUGCAUGAUUAUGUAGUGAAAGAUUUAUUGGUAUAGGAGGAGUCUGCGGCACAUUAGCUAGUAGGUGAGGUAAAGGCUUACCUAGGCGACGAUGUGUAGCCGGUCUGAGAGGAUGAACGGCCACAAUGGAACUGAGACACGGUCCAUACUCCUACGGGAGGCAGCAGUGGGGAAUAUUGCACAAUGGGGGAAACCCUGAUGCAGCAACGCCGCGUGAGUGAAGAAGGUUUUCGGAUUGUAAGGCUCUGUUAGCAGGGAAGAGGAAGGACGGUACCUGCAGAGGAAGCCACGGCUAACUACGUGCCAGCAGCCGCGGUAAUACGUAGGUGGCAAGCGUUGUUCGGAAUAACUGGGCGUAAAGGAUGCGUAGGCGGUUAAACAAGUUAUAUGUUAAAUAUAUAGGCUUAACCUGUAGAAAGCAUAUAAAACUGUUUAACUAGAGUGCAGGAGAGGUAAGUGGAAUUCCUAGUGUAGCGGUGAAAUGCGUAGAGAUUAGGAAGAACACCAGUGGCGAAGGCGACUUACUGGACUGUAACUGACGCUGAGGCAUGAGAGCAUGGGGAGCAAACAGGAUUAGAUACCCUGGUAGUCCAUGCUGUAAACGAUGGGUACUAGGUGUGGGUUGUGAAUAACAAUUCGUGCCGUCGCAAACGCAAUAAGUACCCCGCC